This 118-nucleotide non-coding RNA is filed under the name uncultured Anaerosacchariphilus sp. Its description in RNAcentral is "FMN riboswitch (RFN element)". It matches the Rfam family "FMN riboswitch aptamer (RFN element)". Rfam says of the family: The RFN element is a highly conserved domain that is found frequently in the 5'-untranslated regions of prokaryotic mRNAs that encode for flavin mononucleotide (FMN) biosynthesis and transport proteins. This element is a metabolite-dependent riboswitch that directly binds FMN in the absence of proteins. The record is from RNAcentral. Lineage: Bacteria; Bacillati; Bacillota; Clostridia; Lachnospirales; Lachnospiraceae.
UUCUUCAGGGCAGGGUGUAAUUCCCGACCGGCGGUAAAGUCCGCGAGCUGUAUCCUUAGAGAUAUGGCCGAAUCGGUGAGAUUCCGAUACCGACAGUAGAGUCUGGAUGAGAGAAGAA